AGAGUUUGAUCAUGGCUCAGAUUGAACGCUGGCGGCAGGCUUAACACAUGCAAGUCGAACGAUGAAACUCUAGCUUGCUAGAGAUGAUUAGUGGCGGACGGGUGAGUAACAUUUAGGAAUCUGCCUAGUAGUGGGGGAUAGCUCGGGGAAACUCGAAUUAAUACCGCAUACGACCUACGGGUGAAAGGGGGCGCAAGCUCUUGCUAUUAGAUGAGCCUAAAUCAGAUUAGCUAGUUGGUGGGGUAAAGGCCCACCAAGGCGACGAUCUGUAACUGGUCUGAGAGGAUGAUCAGUCACACCGGAACUGAGACACGGUCCGGACUCCUACGGGAGGCAGCAGUGGGGAAUAUUGGACAAUGGGGGCAACCCUGAUCCAGCCAUGCCGCGUGUGUGAAGAAGGCCUUUUGGUUGUAAAGCACUUUAAGCAGGGAGGAGAGGCUAAUGGUUAAUACCCAUUAGAUUAGACGUUACCUGCAGAAUAAGCACCGGCUAACUCUGUGCCAGCCGCCGCGGUAAUAC
RNAcentral lists this ribosomal RNA (519 nucleotides) under uncultured bacterium. RNAcentral's name for it is "bacterial SSU rRNA". It matches the Rfam family "Bacterial small subunit ribosomal RNA", at positions 8 to 526 of the family's 1533-position model. The record is from RNAcentral.